This 459-nucleotide ribosomal RNA is filed under the name Listeria innocua. RNAcentral's name for it is "bacterial SSU rRNA". It matches the Rfam family "Bacterial small subunit ribosomal RNA", at positions 56 to 496 of the family's 1533-position model. The record is from RNAcentral. Lineage: Bacteria; Bacillati; Bacillota; Bacilli; Caryophanales; Listeriaceae.
UGCAAGUCGAACGAACGGAGGAAGAGCUUGCUCUUCCAAAGUUAGUGGCGGACGGGUGAGUAACACGUGGGCAACCUGCCUGUAAGUUGGGGAUAACUCCGGGAAACCGGGGCUAAUACCGAAUGAUAGAGUGUGGCGCAUGCCACGCUUUUGAAAGAUGGUUUCGGCUAUCGCUUACAGAUGGGCCCGCGGUGCAUUAGCUAGUUGGUAGGGUAAUGGCCUACCAAGGCAACGAUGCAUAGCCGACCUGAGAGGGUGAUCGGCCACACUGGGACUGAGACACGGCCCAGACUCCUACGGGAGGCAGCAGUAGGGAAUCUUCCGCAAUGGACGAAAGUCUGACGGAGCAACGCCGCGUGUAUGAAGAAGGUUUUCGGAUCGUAAAGUACUGUUGUUAGAGAAGAACAAGGAUAAGAGUAACUGCUUGUCCCUUGACGGUAUCUAACCAGAAAGCCACGG